This 30-nucleotide non-coding RNA is filed under the name Rattus norvegicus (Norway rat). The record is from RNAcentral. Lineage: Eukaryota; Metazoa; Chordata; Mammalia; Rodentia; Muridae.
UAAAAGAAAUGAUUAUGAAAUCAAAGGGAU